GGCCACAUGACGCUGUAACACCGGUUCCCAUACGAUCGCCGAAGUGAAGCCUGGUCAAUACUUAGAUGGGUGGCCGUUUUGGAAUACUAGGUGAUA
This is a non-coding RNA of Acanthosepion pharaonis, 96 nucleotides long. The record is from the annotation of a GenBank genome assembly. NCBI's taxonomy places the organism in Eukaryota, Metazoa, Mollusca, Cephalopoda, Sepiida, Sepiidae.